GAGUUUGAUCCUGGCUCAGGAUGAACGCUGGCGGCGUGCUUAACACAUGCAAGUCGAACGGGAAUUACUUUAUUGAAACUUCGGUCGAUUUAAUUUAAUUCUAGUGGCGGACGGGUGAGUAACGCGUGGGUAACCUGCCUUAUACAGGGGGAUAACAGUCAGAAAUGGCUGCUAAUACCGCAUAAGCGCACAGAGCUGCAUGGCUCAGUGUGAAAAACUCCGGUGGUAUAAGAUGGACCCGCGUUGGAUUAGCUAGUUGGUGGGGUAACGGCCCACCAAGGCGACGAUCCAUAGCCGGCCUGAGAGGGUGAACGGCCACAUUGGGACUGAGACACGGCCCAGACUCCUACGGGAGGCAGCAGUGGGGAAUAUUGCGCAAUGGGGGCAACCCUGACGCAGCAAUACCGCGUGAGUGAAGAAGGUUUUCGGAUUGUAAACCUCUGUCGCAGAAGACGAAGGAAGUGACGGUAUUCUGUGAGGAAGCCCCGGCUAACUACGUGCCAGCCGCCGCGGUAAUUC
This 519-nucleotide ribosomal RNA is filed under the name uncultured bacterium. RNAcentral describes it as "bacterial SSU rRNA". It matches the Rfam family "Bacterial small subunit ribosomal RNA", at positions 9 to 526 of the family's 1533-position model. The record is from RNAcentral.